This is a long non-coding RNA of Humulus lupulus (European hop), 698 nucleotides long. RefSeq lists it as uncharacterized. NCBI's taxonomy places the organism in Eukaryota, Viridiplantae, Streptophyta, Magnoliopsida, Rosales, Cannabaceae. The transcript is spliced from 2 exons. The record is from RefSeq and is a predicted model, not a curated record.
UUAAAGCCCAAAACCCAACCUAACCCUAAAUUUAUCCCUUUCUCAUUCUCUCUCAGUCACCUCAGUUGCCCUCUCCCUCUCUCUCGCUCGUUUCCCCCUCACCGCCGGCCUCUCUUUCUCAUUUCCCUCUCACUGUCAGACUCUCUUUCUCACGGUUUCUCUCCUUUUUUUUCAGGUCACCAUCGACGGUGUGGUGGUGGUAGGCAUGCGAAAGGGAUGCUCUCUAAGUGUCGUGUCUCUCUCAUUCUCUCUUACCGUCUCUAUUUCUUUUGCAGGUUCAUGGAGGUGGUGCCGUUCACGGCGGUAAUGUCGCUCGCCAUAAUGGAGGUGGCUCGGAGAGGUGCAGAGGUCUCUCUCUCUCUCUCUGUUUGAUCUUUAUGUGUAUUUUUUUUGGUUCGGGACUCGUGGGGCUAUCAACGGGGUUUGGGGUUUGUGUGGCUGUUGACUGGGUUCAACAACGGGGGCUUUGAAUCUCAGGUCUUUGAAACUGUUAUGCACGUGAGGGAGAAGAGCCUGAAGCUGACCAAGAGGUUAUAGGGGCUCUUGUUGCAACAACACUUUCAAGGUCUUUGGAUAAUUUGUUGUGUAAAACUGAGUAUAAAAUGUAUAUGUGAUUGGUUUUGGACAAUUAAUAAGUGUAUUUUUAGAGUUUUGAUUUUGUUAUGAAUUUUGGUUGAAAUUUAUGUGAUGUUUUGGUA